GUAGUCAUUUAGGUAGCACAUAUACUAAAAUUGGAAUAAUACAAAGAUUAGCAAGGCCCUUGGGCAAAGAUGACAUGCAAAUUCAAGAAGUAUUCCAUAUUUUC
Small nuclear RNA from Otolemur garnettii (small-eared galago), 104 nucleotides. Lineage: Eukaryota; Metazoa; Chordata; Mammalia; Primates; Galagidae. The record is from Ensembl.